This 71-nucleotide transfer RNA is filed under the name Marmota marmota marmota (Alpine marmot). It matches the Rfam family "tRNA". From Rfam's summary of the family: Transfer RNA (tRNA) molecules are approximately 80 nucleotides in length. Their secondary structure includes four short double-helical elements and three loops (D, anti-codon, and T loops). RNAcentral also lists the same sequence under 1 other name. Lineage: Eukaryota; Metazoa; Chordata; Mammalia; Rodentia; Sciuridae. The record is from Rfam by way of RNAcentral.
GGGGUUGUGGCUUAGAGGUAGAGCACUCACCUAGCAUGUGUGAGGCCCUGGGUUCGAUACUCAGCACCCCA